RNAcentral lists this ribosomal RNA (253 nucleotides) under uncultured bacterium. Its description in RNAcentral is "partial 16S ribosomal RNA". It matches the Rfam family "Bacterial small subunit ribosomal RNA", at positions 524 to 776 of the family's 1533-position model. The record is from RNAcentral.
UACGUAGGGGGCAAGCGUUGUCCGGAUUUAUUGGGCGUAAAGAGCGUGUAGGCGGCUUUACAGGUCCGUUGUGAAAACUGGAGGCUCAACCUCCAGACGUCGACGGAAACCGUGUGGCUAGAGUCCGGAAGAGGAGAACGGAAUUCCUGGUGUAGCGGUGAAAUGCGCAGAUAUCAGGAGGAACACCGGUGGCGAAGGCGGUUCUCUGGGCAUUACCUGACGCUGAGGAGCGAAAGUGUGGGGAGCGAACAGG